CCUACGGGCGGCAGCAGUGGGGGAUAUUGCACAAUGGGGGGAACCCUGAUGCAGCGACGCCGCGUGGGUGAAGGAGUGCUUCGGCAUGUAAAGCCCUAUCGGCAGGGAAGAAGCAAGACGGUACCUGACUAAGAAGCCCCGGCUAACGACGUGCCAGCAGCAGCGGUAAUACGUAGGGGGCGAGCGUUAUCCGGAUUCACUGGGUGUAAAGGGAGCGGAGACGGCCAUGCAAGCCAGGGGUGAAAGCCCGGGGCCCAACCCCGGGACUGCCCUUGGAACUGUGCGGCUAGAGUGCGGGAGGGGCAGGCGGAAUUCCUGGUGUAGCGGUGAAAUGCGUAGAUAUCAGGAGGAACACCGGCGGCGAAGGCGGCCUGCUGGACUGCGACUGACGUUGAGGCUCGAAAGCGUGGGGAGCGAACAGGAUUAGAUACCCCAGUAGUC
This 441-nucleotide ribosomal RNA is filed under the name uncultured bacterium. RNAcentral's name for it is "partial 16S ribosomal RNA". It matches the Rfam family "Bacterial small subunit ribosomal RNA", at positions 338 to 795 of the family's 1533-position model. The record is from RNAcentral.